UCCGUCCGUCAGCUGAGAGACAGACAGAGGGAGAUGGAGGGGACGAACGGAGAGAAGGAGAGACAGCUGCCUCCUGCUGGAGGAGAGAAGGGAAUGAGGAGAGGUAAUCUGGAGGAGCUGAGGAGGACUAUGAAGGAGGUGACGUUCUUCAAAGAGGAGGUGACAAGGGAACAAAGGGAGAAGGAGAAGAUGCAGGAGGAGCUGAGAAGGAGGAGAGAUGAUGUGACAGGCCUCAGAGAGGAGGUGAAAAGGGAACAAAGGGAGAGAGAGGAGGUACAGGAGGAGCUGAGAAGGACUAAGAAGGAGGUGAUGGCCCUCAGAGAGGAGGUGAAAAGGGAACAAAAGGAAAUGGAGGAGGUACUAGAGGAGCUGAGGAGAACUAAGAGCGAGGGGGAGGUGUCUGCACUGAGAGAGGAGGUACAGAAGGAACAAAGGAAGAAGACAGAGGCACAGGAGGAGCUGAUAAAGAGGAGAGAGGAUGUGACAUCUCUCAGAGUGGAGGUGCAGAAGGAGCAGAGGAGGAGGCAGGUGAUGCAGGAGGAGCUGAAUAGGACCAAGAGCGAGUUGACAGUCUUAACAGAGGAAGUGGAGAAGGAGCAGAAGGAGAUGGAGCAGGAACAAGAGACGUUAAUGAAGACAGAGGAGGUGGAAGCUCUCAGAGAGGAGGUGCAGAAGGAGCAGAGGAGGAGGCAGGACAUCCAGGAGGAGCUGAGAGGAGUGCAGCAGAUCGUGGAGGUGAUGGUGGAUGAACCUGAGCUCCCUGCAGACUCAGGUGUCAGAUGUGAGUCGGAGCAGGGAGCGAGCUCUGGAGGAGAAGCAGGAGGAGGUGCAGCAGCUCAGGGAGGAGAGGGGAGAGGUGGAGGAGCUGAGAGCCAGAGCCAAGGCCCUGGAGAGGAGGAGGACAGAGAUGAUGGAGGAGCUGCAGAAGGCCCGACGGGAGAAGGAGGAUGCUGA
RNAcentral lists this long non-coding RNA (954 nucleotides) under Cottoperca gobio. Its description in RNAcentral is "lncRNA (ENSCGOG00000019423.1)". Lineage: Eukaryota; Metazoa; Chordata; Actinopteri; Perciformes; Bovichtidae. The record is from RNAcentral.